Molecule: ribosomal RNA, 260 nt
Filed under: uncultured bacterium
Lineage: Bacteria
Description: partial 16S ribosomal RNA
Rfam family: Bacterial small subunit ribosomal RNA
Source: RNAcentral
GUCCACGCCAUAAACGAUGGAUGCUCGGUGUUUGGCGGGGAAACCUGCUGGGCACCUCAGCUGACGCGUAAGCAUCACGCCUGGGAACUACGAGCGCAAGCUUAAAACUCAAAGGAAUUGACGGGGCCCGCACAAGCAGCGGAGCGUGUGGUUUAAUUCGACGCAACCCGCAGCACCUUACCCAGACUUGACAUGGCACUGCACGCCACGGAAACGUGGUCGCCUUCGAGGGUGUGCCGCAGAUGCUGCAUGGCUGUAGU